This 354-nucleotide unclassified non-coding RNA is filed under the name soil metagenome. RNAcentral describes it as "partial contains 5.8S ribosomal RNA, internal transcribed spacer 2, and large subunit ribosomal RNA". The stretch from base 1 to 120 matches the Rfam family "5.8S ribosomal RNA", at positions 35 to 154 of the family's 154-position model. The record is from RNAcentral.
GAUGAAGAACGUAGCGAAACGCGAUAUGUAAUGUGAAUUGCAGAAUUCAGUGUAUCAUCGAAUCUUUGAACGCACAUGGCGCCUUCCAGUAUCCUGGGAGGCAUGCCUGUCCGAGCGUCGUUUCAACCCUCGAGCCCCCGUGGCCCGGCGUUGGGGAUCUGCCCAGGCAGUCCCCGAAAACCAGUGGCGGACCCGUUACAGGCCCUUCCCUUGCGUAGUAGCAUUCGCCUCGCAUCGGGAGCCGGCGGGCUUCCAGCCUCUAAACCCCCAUCAAGUCCGCCCCGGCGGCACCAAGGUUGACCUCGGAUCAGGUAGGAAUACCCGCUGAACUUAAGCAUAUCAAUAAGCGGAGGA